AGACCCGAAACCCGGUGAUCUAGCCAUGGGCAGGUUGAAGGUUGGGUAACACUAACUGGAGGACCGAACCGACUAAUGUUGAAAAAUUAGCGGAUGACCUGUGGCUGGGGGUGAAAGGCCAAUCAAACCGGGAGAUAGCUGGUUCUCCCCGAAAGCUAUUUAGGUAGCGCCUCGUGAAUUCAUCUCCGGGGGUAGAGCACUGUUUCGGCUAGGGGGCCAUCCCGGCUUACCAACCCGAUGCAAACUGCGAAUACCGGAGAAUGUUAUCACGGGAGACACACGGCGGGUGCUAACGUCCGUCGUGAAGAGGGAAACAACCCAGACCGCCAGCUAAGGUCCCAAAGUCAUGGUUAAGUGGGAAACGAUGUGGGAAGGCCCAGACAGCCAGGAUGUUGGCUUAGAAGCAGCCAUCAUUUAAAGAAAGCGUAAUAGCUCACUGGUCGAGUCGGCCUGCGCGGAAGAUGUAACGGGGCUAAACCAUGCACCGAAGCUGCGGCAGCGACACUCAGGUGUUGUUGGGUAGGGGAGCGUUCUGUAAGCCUGUGAAGGUGGCCUGUGAGGGUUGCUGGAGGUAUCAG
Molecule: ribosomal RNA, 578 nt
Filed under: Salmonella enterica subsp. enterica serovar Virchow
Lineage: Bacteria; Pseudomonadati; Pseudomonadota; Gammaproteobacteria; Enterobacterales; Enterobacteriaceae
Description: partial 23S ribosomal RNA
Rfam family: Bacterial large subunit ribosomal RNA
Source: RNAcentral